AGUCUCUGCCCUGUUAACACCAGCAGCUGAGAGGCGAGGACCUCUUUGUCCUGAACCUGGAGGAUGGCCUGAGGAGAUGAACGUGGACAAACGUACGUCAUUUCUAUAAAAACCACCAGAAACGCCCACGACAUAAACAUGCAGAUAUACAGGUGCAACGCUCAAAUACACUCCAGCUCACCUUUUCCUCCUUCCAAUAACUUUUUGACAGAAAGCCUCGGGAGGGGCUCAGCCUGCAGCGAUGACACUUUGGAGGUUGGCGUGUUUGCCCUGCUGUGAAGUAGUGUCUGAAGUAUGAGACAGUCCUCCAGCUGUUUCAGCAGGAGCUUCCAGUACUCGGUGUCAAGAGAGAGGGCCUCCCAGGAGUCGGUGAGGGCCUCGGAAUCAGCACCCAAGACUGUUUGGGAAAACUAACAGAAAACACACUGGUGAUACUCUGGCAAAGAAUCUGGAUCGACAUUAACUUGAAUGAGCUUUUAACUUGAAAGCUGAUGACAGACCGUCAGGAUACAUCACAAAGCAGCACACAGAUGCUGGUUCACAAAUGUUACUACUUGACUGGGAUGGGACAGGAGGGACAGGAGGAGACGGCAGACUCUGGGGCAACAGUGAGUUGGAGUCACUGCUUCGACAUUUGCAAGAAGAUCUGCAGUAACGCCCGAUUCAUGCAGUGUGUACUUCAACACGUUUGCAGGGCCAUCCUUGACAAGGGCCCCGGUCUCUUCGGUCAGUACUGGGUACUGGUAUCUCUUCAAAAUGCACUCACCAACAUACAAAACGUAUCUCAAACUUCUUCUCUUUCCAUUAUUAUAAACAUCUUAAGCCAGUACUCUUAAAUUUAGCAUAGAAACUAUACUCAGACCGACAGUGUUAAGUGAAUGUCUAUAGGCCCAUUUAAGUGACUCAUCCAAUUAAACGCAACGUCCCCUAGAAAGAAAUUAUUUGAUCUACCAUGAGAUAUGAGAUUUUUAAAAUAAAUUUGAGUGUUCAAGAGAUGAGGAGAAACCACAAAGCAAAACGAUCAAUAGGAAACUUUUAUGUGUCAUUCAACACUACAUCCCCUAAAACAACUUCUGUUUAUAAAAGAGGGGACAGAGGUUAUAAAUGCAACCGUAGAACUUGAGAGCUACAACAAAGCUCAGAAAUAACGCAGCCUAACCCUGACCUCCUGCAGACGGAACCGAAGCAGGAGACACAUGUUUAAGGGACUUACCACACCCGAGGGGGAAGACCUCUGCCCUCCACCUGCAGGACUUUACCCCUCAUGCCAUGAGGUGGCGGCUCAGCUCAAAUACGCAUGUCAUCUGAAUAAACAAGUUCAGGGCAGCACCCCUCACUCCCAACAAGACAAAUAAGAACCUGCUGGGCACACAUUUCAAACUCCAGAUGUUCCAUAACACUGAAGACACUGCAGCCCCGACACAGGCUGGACAGGGACAGACCCAGCCUAUCCAAACAUAGGGGUGCCCCUGCCCACUUACUUUCUUCUCAGUCAGACUGUUCGAGAUCUGUGCGGCAACGGAAUGGCCGACGUGUGCAGACAGCAGGGCGGCCCCGUUGUUCUCAGACUGAACACAAGCCGUCCGCAUCUGCUGCCACCACGGGGACACAGACUGGGAGUCCCAGGUCUCGUCGAUGGCCACUGCAGGCAAAAAGAGAAAGUUAAACAACAGACUUGGAGCUUGUCGAUUUUUUCUGGUCCAAUCUUUACAUCAAAUGUAAUGCAGAAGCUGAAUUCGCCAGUUAUGCACUGGUAGAUUUCUGAAUGACUCAGAAAAUAAAUCCAUAACUUCUCUUGUCAGAAUACUUAUAUCCCAUUUAUUUAGGCUGCCUUUAGUGGUCUUGCUUCUGAAUCAACUGUAAAUCUGUGGAAUAUUUUCAUCAUUGCUGAAAACUACUAUUGAAUUUUUUUUUUAAGUUUUAUUUUACUUAUUUUGAGAGAAAG
Molecule: long non-coding RNA, 1945 nt
Organism: Herpailurus yagouaroundi (jaguarundi)
Lineage: Eukaryota; Metazoa; Chordata; Mammalia; Carnivora; Felidae
Exons: 2
Source: RefSeq, a predicted model, not a curated record